GGGGAAUAUUGCACAAUGGGCGAAAGCCUGAUGCAGCAACGCCGCGUGUGCGAUGAAGGCCUUCGGGUCGUAAAGCACUUUUCUGGGAGAUGAGAAAGGACAGUAUCUCAGGAAUAAGUCUCGGCUAACUACGUGCCAGCAGCCGCGGUAAAACGUAGGAGGCAAGCGUUAUCCGGAUUCACUGGGUGUAAAGCGCGUGCAGGCGGUUCGGUAAGUUGGGCGUGAAAUCUCCUGGCUCAACUAGGAGAGGUCGUUCAAUACUACCGGACUUGAGAGUGGUAGAGGAAGAUGGAAUUCCCGGUGUAGUGGUGAAAUGCGUAGAUAUCGGGAGGAACACCAGUGGCGAAGGCGAUCUUCUGGACCAUUUCUGACGCUCAGACGCGACAGCUAGGGUAGCAAACG
This 402-nucleotide ribosomal RNA is filed under the name uncultured bacterium. Its description in RNAcentral is "bacterial SSU rRNA". It matches the Rfam family "Bacterial small subunit ribosomal RNA", at positions 356 to 774 of the family's 1533-position model. The record is from RNAcentral.